UCGUGGAGCUACGGCUCCUUCGAGGGAGAACCCUUGCCUUUUCGAGCACCUGUUUGUUUCCUCGGCAGGCCCGCCUGCCAGUGGGGACCCUUUUAAACUCUUGCAGUAACCUGGAACAAGAUUGAACAAAAAACCGAAAUCAA
Molecule: unclassified non-coding RNA, 143 nt
Filed under: uncultured Ascomycota
Lineage: Eukaryota; Fungi; Ascomycota
Description: sequence contains ITS1
Source: RNAcentral